CCUACGGGAGGCAGCAGUGGGGAAUAUUGGGCAAUGGGCGCAAGCCUGACCCAGCAACGCCGCGUGAAGGAAGAAGGCUUUCGGGUUGUAAACUUCUUUUGUCAGGGACGAAGCAAGUGACGGUACCUGACGAAUAAGCCACGGCUAACUACGUGCCAGCAGCCGCGGUAAUACGUAGGUGGCAAGCGUUAUCCGGAUUUACUGGGUUUAUAGGGCGUGUAGGCGGGACUGCAAGUCAGAUGUGAAAACCACGGGCUCAACCUGUGGCCUGCAUUUGAAACUGUAGUGCUUGAGUGCUGGAGAGGCAGACGGAAGUCGUGGUGUAGCGGUGAAAUGCGUAGAUAUUAGGAAGAACACCAGUGGCGAAGGCGGUCUGCUGGACAGCAACUGACGCUGAGGCGCGAAAGCGUGGGGAGCAAACAGGAUUAGAUACCCGGGUAGUC
Molecule: ribosomal RNA, 443 nt
Filed under: uncultured bacterium
Lineage: Bacteria
Description: partial 16S ribosomal RNA
Rfam family: Bacterial small subunit ribosomal RNA
Source: RNAcentral